This 479-nucleotide ribosomal RNA is filed under the name uncultured bacterium. RNAcentral describes it as "bacterial SSU rRNA". It matches the Rfam family "Bacterial small subunit ribosomal RNA", at positions 29 to 507 of the family's 1533-position model. The record is from RNAcentral.
AUGAACGCUAGCGGCAGGCCUAACACAUGCAAGUCGAGGGGUAUAGGGAGCUUGCUUCCUAGAGACCGGCGCACGGGUGCGUAACGCGUAUGCAAUCUACCUUUCACAGAGGGAUAGCCCAGAGAAAUUUGGAUUAAUACCUCAUAGUAUUAUAGAAUGGCAUCAUUUUAUAAUUAAAGUCACAACGGUGAAAGAUGAGCAUGCGUCCCAUUAGCUAGUUGGUAUGGUAACGGCAUACCAAGGCAACGAUGGGUAGGGGUCCUGAGAGGGAGAUCCCCCACACUGGUACUGAGACACGGACCAGACUCCUACGGGAGGCAGCAGUGAGGAAUAUUGGUCAAUGGGCGCAAGCCUGAACCAGCCAUGCCGCGUGCAGGAUGACGGUCCUAUGGAUUGUAAACUGCUUUUGCACAGGAAGAAACAACGCUACGUGUAGCGUCUUGACGGUACUGUGAGAAUAAGGAUCGGCUAACUCCGUG